AUUGAACGCUGGCGGCAGGCCUAACACAUGCAAGUCGAGCGGAGCGGCGGACGGGUGCGUAAUGCCUAGGAAUCUGCCCGGUAGUGGGGGAUAACGUCCGGAAACGGGCGCUAAUACUGCUAACUCUCAGCUGAGCCUAGGUCGGAUUAGCUAGUUGGGGGGGUAAAGGCCUACAAAGGCGACGAUCCGUAUCUGGUCUGAGAGGAUGAGCAGUCACACUGGAACUGAGACACGGUCCAGACUCCUACGGGAGGCAGCAGUGGGGAAUAUUGGACAAUGGGCGAAAGCCUGAUCCAGCCAUGCCGCGUGUGUGAAGAAGGUCUUCGGAUUGUAAAGCACUUUAAGUUGGGAGGCGUUACCAACAGAAUAAGCACCGGCUAACUUCGUGCCAGCAGCCGCGGUAAUUC
Molecule: ribosomal RNA, 407 nt
Filed under: uncultured bacterium
Lineage: Bacteria
Description: partial 16S ribosomal RNA
Rfam family: Bacterial small subunit ribosomal RNA
Source: RNAcentral